UACGUAGGGUGCAAGCGUUAAUCGGAAUUACUGGGCGUAAAGCGUGCGCAGGCGGUGAUGUAAGACAGAUGUGAAAUCCCCGGGCUCAACCUGGGAACUGCAUUUGUGACUGCAUCGCUGGAGUGCGGCAGAGGGGGAUGGAAUUCCACGUGUAGCAGUGAAAUGCGUAGAGAUGUGGAGGAACACCGAUGGCGAAGGCAGCCCCCUGGGCUAACACUGACGCUCAGGCACGAAAGCGUGGGGAGCAAACAGG
RNAcentral lists this ribosomal RNA (253 nucleotides) under uncultured bacterium. RNAcentral describes it as "partial 16S ribosomal RNA". It matches the Rfam family "Bacterial small subunit ribosomal RNA", at positions 524 to 776 of the family's 1533-position model. The record is from RNAcentral.